GUUAAGCGACUAAGCGUACACGGUGGAUGCCCUGGCAGUCAGAGGCGAUGAAGGACGUGCUAAUCUGCGAUAAGCGUCGGUAAGGUGAUAUGAACCGUUAUAACCGGCGAUUUCCGAAUGGGGAAACCCAGUGUGAUUCGUCACACUAUCAUUAACUGAAUCCAUAGGUUAAUGAGGCGAACCGGGGGAACUGAAACAUCUAAGUACCCCGAGGAAAAGAAAUCAACCGAGAUUCCCCCAGUAGCGGCGAGCGAACGGGGAGGAGCCCAGAGCCUGAAUCAGUGUGUGUGUUAGUGGAAGCGUCUGGAAAGGCGCGCGAUACAGGGUGACAGCCCCGUACACAAAAAUGCACAUGCUGUGAGCUCGAUGAGUAGGGCGGGACACGUGGUAUCCUGUCUGAAUAUGGGGGGACCAUCCUCCAAGGCUAAAUACUCCUGACUGACCGAUAGUGAACCAGUACCGUGAGGGAAAGGCGAAAAGAACCCCGGCGAGGGGAGUGAAAAAGAACCUGAAACCGUGUACGUACAAGCAGUGGGAGCACGCUUAGGCGUGUGACUGCGUACCUUUUGUAUAAUGGGUCAGCGACUUAUAUUCUGUAGCAAGGUUAACCGAAUAGGGGAGCCGAAGGGAAACCGAGUCUUAACUGGGCGUUAAGUUGCAGGGUAUAGACCCGAAACCCGGUGAUCUAGCCAUGGGCAGGUUGAAGGUUGGGUAACACUAACUGGAGGACCGAACCGACUAAUGUUGAAAAAUUAGCGGAUGACUUGUGGCUGGGGGUGAAAGGCCAAUCAAACCGGGAGAUAGCUGGUUCUCCCCGAAAGCUAUUUAGGUAGCGCCUCGUGAAUUCAUCUCCGGGGGUAGAGCACUGUUUCGGCAAGGGGGUCAUCCCGACUUACCAACCCGAUGCAAACUGCGAAUACCGGAGAAUGUUAUCACGGGAGACACACGGCGGGUGCUAACGUCCGUCGUGAAGAGGGAAACAACCCAGACCGCCAGCUAAGGUCCCAAAGUCAUGGUUAAGUGGGAAACGAUGUGGGAAGGCCCAGACAGCCAGGAUGUUGGCUUAGAAGCAGCCAUCAUUUAAAGAAAGCGUAAUAGCUCACUGGUCGAGUCGGCCUGCGCGGAAGAUGUAACGGGGCUAAACCAUGCACCGAAGCUGCGGCAGCGACACUGUGUGUUGUUGGGUAGGGGAGCGUUCUGUAAGCCUGCGAAGGUGUGCUGUGAGGCAUGCUGGAGGUAUCAGAAGUGCGAAUGCUGACAUAAGUAACGAUAAAGCGGGUGAAAAGCCCGCUCGCCGGAAGACCAAGGGUUCCUGUCCAACGUUAAUCGGGGCAGGGUGAGUCGACCCCUAAGGCGAGGCCGAAAGGCGUAGUCGAUGGGAAACAGGUUAAUAUUCCUGUACUUGGUGUUACUGCGAAGGGGGGACGGAGAAGGCUAUGUUGGCCGGGCGACGGUUGUCCCGGUUUAAGCGUGUAGGCUGGUUUUCCAGGCAAAUCCGGAAAAUCAAGGCUGAGGCGUGAUGACGAGGCACUACGGUGCUGAAGCAACAAAUGCCCUGCUUCCAGGAAAAGCCUCUAAGCAUCAGGUAACAUCAAAUCGUACCCCAAACCGACACAGGUGGUCAGGUAGAGAAUACCAAGGCGCUUGAGAGAACUCGGGUGAAGGAACUAGGCAAAAUGGUGCCGUAACUUCGGGAGAAGGCACGCUGAUAUGUAGGUGAAGUCCCUCGCGGAUGGAGCUGAAAUCAGUCGAAGAUACCAGCUGGCUGCAACUGUUUAUUAAAAACACAGCACUGUGCAAACACGAAAGUGGACGUAUACGGUGUGACGCCUGCCCGGUGCCGGAAGGUUAAUUGAUGGGGUCAGCGCAAGCGAAGCUCUUGAUCGAAGCCCCGGUAAACGGCGGCCGUAACUAUAACGGUCCUAAGGUAGCGAAAUUCCUUGUCGGGUAAGUUCCGACCUGCACGAAUGGCGUAAUGAUGGCCAGGCUGUCUCCACCCGAGACUCAGUGAAAUUGAACUCGCUGUGAAGAUGCAGUGUACCCGCGGCAAGACGGAAAGACCCCGUGAACCUUUACUAUAGCUUGACACUGAACAUUGAGCCUUGAUGUGUAGGAUAGGUGGGAGGCUUUGAAGUGUGGACGCCAGUCUGCAUGGAGCCGACCUUGAAAUACCACCCUUUAAUGUUUGAUGUUCUAACGUUGACCUGUGAUCCGGGUUGCGGACAGUGUCUGGUGGGUAGUUUGACUGGGGCGGUCUCCUCCUAAAGAGUAACGGAGGAGCACGAAGGUUGGCUAAUCCUGGUCGGACAUCAGGAGGUUAGUGCAAUGGCAUAAGCCAGCUUGACUGCGAGCGUGACGGCGCGAGCAGGUGCGAAAGCAGGUCAUAGUGAUCCGGUGGUUCUGAAUGGAAGGGCCAUCGCUCAACGGAUAAAAGGUACUCCGGGGAUAACAGGCUGAUACCGCCCAAGAGUUCAUAUCGACGGCGGUGUUUGGCACCUCGAUGUCGGCUCAUCACAUCCUGGGGCUGAAGUAGGUCCCAAGGGUAUGGCUGUUCGCCAUUUAAAGUGGUACGCGAGCUGGGUUUAGAACGUCGUGAGACAGUUCGGUCCCUAUCUGCCGUGGGCGCUGGAGAACUGAGGGGGGCUGCUCCUAGUACGAGAGGACCGGAGUGGACGCAUCACUGGUGUU
This 2688-nucleotide ribosomal RNA is filed under the name Escherichia coli. RNAcentral describes it as "partial 23S ribosomal RNA". It matches the Rfam family "Bacterial large subunit ribosomal RNA". The record is from RNAcentral. Lineage: Bacteria; Pseudomonadati; Pseudomonadota; Gammaproteobacteria; Enterobacterales; Enterobacteriaceae.